RNAcentral lists this ribosomal RNA (396 nucleotides) under Granofilosea sp. RNAcentral's name for it is "partial small subunit ribosomal RNA". It matches the Rfam family "Eukaryotic small subunit ribosomal RNA", at positions 582 to 975 of the family's 1831-position model. The record is from RNAcentral. Lineage: Eukaryota; Cercozoa.
AUUCCAGCUCCAAUAGCGUAUAUUAAAGUUGUUGCAGUUAAAAAGUUCGUAGUUGAAUUUAUGAUAUGGCACGCCUGGUCCGCCCCAUUAGGUGUGCGAGUACCGGCGCGUGCCUAUCAUCCUUCUGCGGACUGCGUCUACCCUUGAUUGGGCCGGGCGUGGGACGUAGAUCGUUUACUUUGAAAAAAUUAGAGUGUUUCAAGCAGGCUUAUGCCUUGAAUACAUUAGCAUGGAAUAAUAAGAUAGGGCUUUGGUUCUAUUUUGUUGGUUUCUAGGACUGAAGUAAUGAUUGAUAGGGAUAGUUGGGGGUGCUAGUAUUGAACGGCCAGAGGUGAAAUUCUUGGAUUCGUUCAAGACUAACUAAUGCGAAAGCAUUCACCAAGGAUGUCUUCAUCG